This 253-nucleotide ribosomal RNA is filed under the name uncultured bacterium. RNAcentral describes it as "partial 16S ribosomal RNA". It matches the Rfam family "Bacterial small subunit ribosomal RNA", at positions 524 to 776 of the family's 1533-position model. The record is from RNAcentral.
UACGUAGGGUGCGAGCGUUAAUCGGAAUUACUGGGCGUAAAGCGUGCGCAGGCGGUUUUGUAAGCCAGAUGUGAAAUCCCCGGGCUUAACCUGGGAAUGGCAUUUGGGACUGCAAGGCUUGAGUGUGGCAGAGGAGACUGGAAUUCCUGGUGUAGCAGUGAAAUGCGUAGAUAUCAGGAGGAACACCGAUGGCGAAGGCAGGUCUCUGGGCUAACACUGUCGCUCAUGCACGAAAGCGUGGGGAGCAAACAGG